UAUCAUUUAUAAUACCAUAACUAAAGGUGUACAGCAUUUCUGUCCAUGUGGCCUCACACACAAAGUCAACAGUGAAAGGAAUGCUAUCCAUCUGACGAGAAAGCAGUGGACAGUACAGCAGACAAAGAUGUUUCACCUGGACAUGAAGGACCACUUGGUGUCACAGCUUUGGAUCAGCCAUCUGCAGCAGAGUCCCAGUCCACUUGGUCACACCACAAGUUGGAAAUUACAGCUACAGCUUAUUCAGUAA
Long non-coding RNA from Micropterus salmoides (largemouth bass), 250 nucleotides. RefSeq lists it as uncharacterized. The record is from RefSeq and is a predicted model, not a curated record. The transcript is spliced from 2 exons. NCBI's taxonomy places the organism in Eukaryota, Metazoa, Chordata, Actinopteri, Centrarchiformes, Centrarchidae.